Molecule: ribosomal RNA, 301 nt
Filed under: uncultured bacterium
Lineage: Bacteria
Description: partial 16S ribosomal RNA
Rfam family: Bacterial small subunit ribosomal RNA
Source: RNAcentral
CAGCCGCCGCGGGAAUACGUAGGGUGCGAGCGUUAAUCGGAAUUACUGGGCGUAAAGCGUGCGCAGGCGGUUCGUUAAGACAGAUGUGAAAUCCCCGGGCUUAACCUGGGAACUGCAUUUGUGACUGGCGAGCUAGAGUAUGGCAGAGGGGGGUAGAAUUCCACGUGUAGCAGUGAAAUGCGUAGAGAUGUGGAGGAAUACCGAUGACGAAGGCAGCCCCCUGGGCCAAUACUGACGCUCAUGCACGAAAGCGUGGGGAGCAAACAGGAUUAGAUACCCCUGUAGUCCCUGUCUCUUAUAC